GGUCUAACAGUCGGGCCGACAAAGUAAGAACUAAACACAAACACAAACACUUAAAACUCGAACACCACAGCACAAACAAGUCGGCUGCUACUCUGCUGCAAAUAUAGACAGACAUUGACAGCUGCAAAUAUAGACAGACAUUGACACUUGCUACCUUAAACUAGAAGAAAACAUACAGACAUCAUCAUCCACACAUGCUUGCGACUCUUACUUUAG
This 216-nucleotide unclassified non-coding RNA is filed under the name Hevea brasiliensis (rubber tree). The record is from RNAcentral. Lineage: Eukaryota; Viridiplantae; Streptophyta; Magnoliopsida; Malpighiales; Euphorbiaceae.